CCUACGGGAGGCAGCAGUGAGGAAUAUUGGUCAAUGGUCGGGAGACUGAACCAGCCAAGCCGCGUGAGGGAGGAAGGUACAGAGUAUCGUAAACCUCUUUUGUCAGGGAACAAAGGCGGGGACGUGUCCCCGGAUGAGUGUACUUGAAGAAAAAGCAUCGGCUAACUCCGUGCCAGCAGCCGCGGUAAUACGGAGGAUGCGAGCGUUAUCCGGAUUUAUUGGGUUUAAAGGGUGCGCAGGCGGAAUGUCAAGUCAGCGGUAAAAUUUCGGGGCUCAACCCCGUCGUGUCGUUGAAACUGGCGUUU
RNAcentral lists this ribosomal RNA (305 nucleotides) under uncultured bacterium. Its description in RNAcentral is "bacterial SSU rRNA". It matches the Rfam family "Bacterial small subunit ribosomal RNA", at positions 338 to 641 of the family's 1533-position model. The record is from RNAcentral.